RNAcentral lists this ribosomal RNA (497 nucleotides) under uncultured bacterium. Its description in RNAcentral is "partial 16S ribosomal RNA". It matches the Rfam family "Bacterial small subunit ribosomal RNA", at positions 28 to 507 of the family's 1533-position model. The record is from RNAcentral.
GAUGAACGCUGGCGGCGUGCCUAAUACAUGCAAGUCGAGCGAACAGACGAGGAGCUUGCUCCUCUGACGUUAGCGGCGGACGGGUGAGUAACACGUGGGUAACCUACCUAUAAGACUGGGAUAACUUAGGGAAACCGGAGCUAAUACAGGAUAAUAUAUUGAACCGCAUGGUUCAAUAGUGAAAGACGGUUUUGCUGUCACUUAUAGAUGGAUCCGCGCCGCAUUAGCUAGUUGGUAAGGUAACGGCUUACCAAGGCAACGAUGCGUAGCAGACCGGAGAGGGUGAGCGGCCACACUGGAACUGUGACACGGUCCAGACUACUACGGGAGGCAGCAGUAGGGAAUCUUCCGCAAUGCGCGAAAGCCUGACGGAGCAACGCCGCGUGAGUGAUGAAGUUCUUCGGAUCUUAAAACUCUGUUAUUAGGGAAGAACAAAUGUGUAAGUAACUAUGCACGUCUUGACGGUACCUAAUCAGAAAGCCACGGCUAACUACGUG